AACGUAGGUGGCGAGCGUUAUCCGGAUUUACUGGGCGUAAAGGGUGUGCAGGCGGGUGAACAAGUGGGGUAUGAAAGGUUUCGGCUCAACCGAGAUAGGUUAUGCCAGACUGUUUACCUAGAGUGUGAGAGAGGGACGUGGAAUUCCGGGUGUAGUGGUGGAAUGCGUAGAUAUCCGGAAGAACACCGGUGGCGAAGGCGGUGGUCUGGACCAAAACUGACGCUGAGGAGCGAAAGCCAGGGGAGCAAACGGG
This 253-nucleotide ribosomal RNA is filed under the name uncultured bacterium. RNAcentral describes it as "partial 16S ribosomal RNA". It matches the Rfam family "Bacterial small subunit ribosomal RNA", at positions 524 to 776 of the family's 1533-position model. The record is from RNAcentral.